UACAGAGGUCCCAAGCGUUGUUCGGAUUCAUUGGGCGUAAAGGGUGCGUAGGCGGCGCGGUAAGUCGGGUGUGAAAUCUCGGGGCUUAACUCCGAAACUGCAUUCGAUACUGCCGUGCUUGAGGACUGGGGAGGAGACUGGAAUUUACGGUGUAGCGGUGAAAUGCGUAGAUAUCGUAAGGAAGACCAGUGGCGAAGGCGGGUCUCUGGACAGUUCCUGACGCUGAGGCACGAAGGUCAGGGGAGCAAACGGG
This 253-nucleotide ribosomal RNA is filed under the name uncultured bacterium. Its description in RNAcentral is "partial 16S ribosomal RNA". It matches the Rfam family "Bacterial small subunit ribosomal RNA", at positions 524 to 776 of the family's 1533-position model. The record is from RNAcentral.